ACGUAAUAGAUACCCGGGUAGUCCACGCCCUAAACGAUGUCUACUAGUUGUUGGUGGAGUAAAAUCCAUGAGUAAACGCAGCUAAACGCGUGAAGUAGACCGCCUGGGGAGUACGGUCGCAAGAUUAAAACUCAAAUGAAUUGACGGGGGCCCGGCACAAGCGGUGGAUUAUGUGGAUUAAAUUCGAUGCAACGCGAAAAACCUUAACCUGGCCUUGACAUGUAACGAACUUUCCAGAGAUGGAUUGGUUGCUCGAAAGAGAACGUUAACACAGGUGCUGCAUGGCUGUCGUCAGCUCGUGUCGUGAGAUGUU
This 313-nucleotide ribosomal RNA is filed under the name uncultured bacterium. Its description in RNAcentral is "bacterial SSU rRNA". It matches the Rfam family "Bacterial small subunit ribosomal RNA", at positions 773 to 1076 of the family's 1533-position model. The record is from RNAcentral.